RNAcentral lists this ribosomal RNA (266 nucleotides) under Ditylum brightwellii. Its description in RNAcentral is "partial Bacterial large subunit ribosomal RNA". It matches the Rfam family "Bacterial large subunit ribosomal RNA", at positions 18 to 302 of the family's 2925-position model. Lineage: Eukaryota; Bacillariophyta; Thalassiosirophyceae; Lithodesmiales; Lithodesmiaceae. The record is from RNAcentral.
CUUACGGCGGAGACCUAGGUACUCAGAGACGAAGAAGGGCGCAGGUACCGGCGAAACGCUUCGGGGAGCUGGCAACAAGCUUUGAUCCGGAGAUUCCCGAAUAGGGCAACCUCAAGAACUACCUAUACAAUUCAUAGUUAGGAAAGAGAGAACCUGGUGAACUGAAACAUCUUAGUAGCCAGAGGAAAAGAAAGCAAACGCGAUUCCCAAAGUAGCGGCGAGCGAAAUGGGAACAGCCUAAACCAGUUUUUACAAUUGGGGUAGUG